UACAGAGGGGGCAAGCGUUGUUCGGAAUUACUGGGCGUAAAGGGCGCGUAGGCGGCCUUCUAAGUCGAACGUGAAAUCCCUGGGCUCAACCCAGGAACUGCGUCCGAUACUGGAAGGCUUGAAUCCGGGAGAGGGAUGCGGAAUUCCAGGUGUAGCGGUGAAAUGCGUAGAUAUCAGGAGGAACACCAGCGGCGAAGGCGGCGCUCUGGGCUGGAACUGACGCUGAGGAGCGAAAGCGUGGGGAGCGAACAGG
RNAcentral lists this ribosomal RNA (253 nucleotides) under uncultured bacterium. RNAcentral's name for it is "partial 16S ribosomal RNA". It matches the Rfam family "Bacterial small subunit ribosomal RNA", at positions 524 to 776 of the family's 1533-position model. The record is from RNAcentral.